AGUGAACGCUGGCGGUAGGCCUAACACAUGCAAGUCGAACGGCAGCACAGUAAGAGCUUGCUCUUACGGGUGGCGAGUGGCGGACGGGUGAGGAAUACAUCGGAAUCUACUUUUUCGUGGGGGAUAACGUAGGGAAACUUACGCUAAUACCGCGUACGACCUACGGGUGAAAGCAGGGGAUCUUCGGACCUUGCGCGAUUGAAUGAGCCGAUGUCGGAUUAGCUAGUUGGCGGGGUAAAGGCCCACCAAGGCGACGAUCCGUAGCUGGUCUGAGAGGAUGAUCAGCCACACUGGAACUGAGACACGGUCCAGACUCCUACGGGAGGCGGCAGUGGGGAAUAUUGGACAAUGGGCGCAAGCCUGAUCCAGCCAUACCGCGUGGAUGAAGAAGGCCUUCGGGUUGUAAAGCCCUUUUGUUGGGAAAGAAAAGCAGCAGGUUAAUACCCCGCUGUUCUGACGGUACCCAAAGAAUAAGCACCGGCUAACUUCGUG
Molecule: ribosomal RNA, 492 nt
Filed under: uncultured bacterium
Lineage: Bacteria
Description: partial 16S ribosomal RNA
Rfam family: Bacterial small subunit ribosomal RNA
Source: RNAcentral